RNAcentral lists this long non-coding RNA (25344 nucleotides) under Coffea arabica (coffee). RNAcentral describes it as "long non-coding RNA (CARA_LNC004056)". Lineage: Eukaryota; Viridiplantae; Streptophyta; Magnoliopsida; Gentianales; Rubiaceae. The record is from RNAcentral.
UCCAGUUGGUUGGGGUGACAUAGGUGAAUUUGCACUCAUCUGGUGGCUUGCAGCAUCCAGACUGGCAAGAGUAAAUGAACAGAGAAUGAGAGAGACAACAUAAAAACGAUUUAACUGCAAAUGAACUAAUUUCAAUCUAGUCAUAUAUCUGUGAAGAACCUUUCCAAGACAUCGAGUUUAGGCACAGAAGCUGAAAAUUUUACAGAUUCUUUCACAGAAAUUUGAGGCGUGCAACUAGUACAUCAACCAGGAGACGAUUCUCAAAAUCACAAAAGGAACAUCUUAGUUUAUAACAACCUAGCAGUUCAACAAUGUGUCAAAUGUAUUAAAAACAUGCUUCCAAUUCAAAAAUGGAAAAUGCAAUCAAUCCAAAGCAGGACAAUUUAUGAUUUUACAGCAACAAGUUGAAUGCCAUUAUUCUCCUCUGGAGAUACUUGUUUGAACAUGUAUAAUAGCAAAACAAAAAUUGACAGAAUAAGCAAUAGGGUCAAGUAAAUUGAUAUAUCAUUAUUCUUAAAGGCACCACUUUAUGCACCACACCACUUUUUGCAACAAGAAAUAUAUACAAGCAGCAUCACCAAUCUGUCUCAGACAAAAAGCAGAACAUUUUAAGUCGAGAUUCUAGUCAAGUCUCUCAACUUUAGGAAACUACUCAAUAACCAUCAUUCAAAUAUAACAGAUCCAUGGCAGUUAGUGAUUCCAAGUGAAGAUCAAUACCCUUUCUCAAGAAACUUAAAAAAGUAAAAUUACUAUACCAACAAGAACAAACUACUGACACACAGUCCCAGCCCCUAAAGAUAUCUUCCAAUUGAGUAUCCAGAUCUAGAGCGAGGCAGCAAAAACAGAAAACCCCUUCUCCCCUCAAGUGAAAAACUCAAGUUUUAGCUCAAAAAGAAAAAAGAAUGACAACCAUGCAGGUAUGGAGAGCAACAAAAGAUGCAAUACUUAUGAAUCUGUACAUACCUGAAGAGCAGAAAGCGUUUCCUUGUUAAAUUGUCCUAAAGGAGUGGCACCUUGUUCAAUCAGGUGCUUGCAGAUCUGUGAGUCCUGAAGACAACUUCUAAUCCUGGGCCAAUUUUUGUUCACCCUUUUCUGCAACCAAGUGUUGUAAUCCCCAAGCCUGUACUCCUUAUACCCCUUACCUGCAAGGGCCUCACCAGCACCUUUAUUUGUAACCACAAACGCAAAGAUUGUGAAGCAAAAGAGGAGCACAAUCAACAGAAACAUGACCAAAAGGUACACCCAAAGAAGCCAUGAAACUCUGCAACAUGAUCCAAUGAGUCCUGCCAAUGAAACCAACAGCAGAAACGCCCCCAAUACUAUCACUGGCUUUUCAAGAAAACGUUCACAUUCAGUAUUGGACUGCUUUGCUAGCCAAAUCCCACCUGCAAUUAUUGGGAUUGACAACAACAGCGUCAGAAAAUUCAGUAUCCCAAGCAAACUGUUGCUGCAACGUGGCAUUUUCUCUGGUAUUCUUGAAAACGAACCAAAAAUAUCAGUAACUUCUCAAGAAGCCAAGAAGCAAAAGGGGUGAUUAAACUCCAAUAGUUAUGUGCUUCUUAAUGGUGAACGAACCUAGUUAACGGUGAACAGUUUUACCAGUUUUAUAGUAGGAUCCGAUGGAAAAUUGAUCUGGGUUGGAGCUAAGAAAGCGAGAAUCUGGAAAAUAAAAAGGAAGAUAUGAUGAAUGGAACAAAGGGUAAGGGUGGUUAUAUAAUACUGGUGAAGACGGGCCGUUUAAUUGCAUUCUUAGUCCUCUAAGUUAUCAUUCUAGCCCAUGUAUCACGCAGUACCCUAUUGCGUGUAAUAGAUUCAUUAGCAUUCAUUUUACUAUAUAUAUGAUGAUUGAAUUAACUAAGAUUUAAUUUCACAUAAAUUUAUGUCAUCUUUCAUAAAUUGAUUCUAAUUUUUACUUUUUGUUUGCAUAUUUUUUUGUUUGUAGAGUCAAAGAACAUUUUGUGUAAAUUAUUAGUAGUACAACUUUUUGUUUGGUCAAAAGAAUUUAGAUGGAUUAGUCUUGACUCAAAUGGAGUAUCUAUAUUAGCAGGAGCGAAUGAUCAAUUGUGAUUAAUUAUUAUGCAAUCUACACAAGCAUAUAUAUAUAUAUAUAUAUAUGUUCACAAUCAAUAAAAAAAUUAAUCCAAUUUAGAUGCUUACACAUAUUUAAGAGUAGGAAGGAAGGAAGUGGUAUGGUAUCUCUCUAAUUCAAAGCUGAAAGAUGUAGUCCCCUGUGUUUCAAUAGCUACAAUUGUUUGUAGGUUUAAAUUGACAAAAAUGGAGAAGAUGAGAGACUAAGGUAAGAAAACCCAAAAUGUUGGGGUCCCAAAAUCUGUAUGGGGAAAUGUGAAACUCGUGGAGGUUGAGCUGGUCUGGAAUUUGCUAAGGAGUUUCGGAGACGUGUGGCCGUUUCCGAAAAAAUUUCAGCGUCAAGCGAUAAGCCCAGUGCGCCACGUGUGACACGUCGUACUCGCCGUGUGAAUUAAUUGGACAAUCGCAACAAGGAAUCGAAACGGAUGGGAAAGCGUGGGACCAGACUAGCAAUGCCAAAAAGUGUUUUUCUUUUUCUUUAUCUUUUUUGAGCCCAUUAGAAGCCAAAAAUGUAACAAUAAAAAGUUUUGACGCUAUGGUAGACUUGAUCGUUUUGGCUAGUAACUUAUCUUGAAGGAUGAUGUGACUUUUGAUCAAGAACAGGAACAUUAGAAGAUUUCCAAAAUCUUUAAUUUUAAAUGUCCCUCCCCUUUUACCCCAACCAUUAUUGUCUCGAUGGAAGAUGAUUGAAAAAUACUCUUGUUACGAGUGUUUGGAUUAAAAAAAAGAAGAAGAAGAAGUCUUUAUGAUGUGAUGUAUUUUAUGAUUAAAAAAUGGUUAGAAAGAUUUUUUUUUAGAAAAAAAAAAAAGAAAAACAAUGUUUAUUAUGCAUAGGAUUGAAAAAUAAACCAAAUUACAUGAUAUUUGAAUCAAAUUUGACUUAUUAAGAACUCAUUCAAAUUUGGAUCGCCAACUAGUCAAGUUAAGAUUGAACAGCAUUUUAUAUUCGCCAACAUUUAAAUUCGAUAAAAAAAUUAGUUCAAACUCGAUUUGGCAAAAUAAAUAAGUCAAAUUUGCAUAAAAUUUUAAAUUCAUUAAAAUAAUCAAACAAACUUGAAUACUAGGGUGUUCAGUUUGAUUAGACUAGUUUACACCCCUAAUUAUGCAUGUGAAAAAAAUCUUUUUUUUUUUUUUUGCAAAAAAAGAAUAUAUCCAAAAUCUUCUGGUCACUUAAUCUUUGAGACUAAUAUUCAAUGCUGACUGACUCAAUGCAAUUUAUGAUACAAAUUCAAAUAUCCACUUCAUUUUUUUUUUAAAAAAAGGAGUCUUUAUACUUUAAUUGCCUAAUACCUUCUUGAUUGGAUUAAUUUUGGUCUCACUUAGAUUGCAAUUUUUAAAAUUUUUGAAGAAAAAAAAAUAUAUAUAUAUUCUAACAUUGUGAUGUACGAGAUAAAAAGGUAAUUUAAAAUUAUGUCAAACAAAUAUUCCUAGUCAUUGGAAGUUGAUUUUAAAUAGGAGAGAUUCUACAAGAUCACACACACAAGUUAAAUUUAGCAUUAAAUGUGAAAUAAGUGAUGUUAAAUUUCUAUAAUUUCACAACUUUAAAAUUUCAACUGCUAUUAUCAUUAAGGAAUAGAAAUUGAAGAAAUGGUUCCACGAAGGGACCAUACAAUUUCCCAAAGAUUAGUAUCAAAGUAGGUCCUCCAAAAGAAAGAAAAAGAAAUUGUUUAAAGAAGAAAUAAUUGUUUGUAGCCAUAUAUAUAUAUAUAUUUUUUCUUGUUUUUCUCCUAUUUGAGAAAUUGGACGCCGACUUAUAACUUGAAAUCAGGCGAGUCCCGCGCGCCGUGUCCAUCGUUUAGUAAUAAGUACUAUAAUAAAUGAGUAUGAUGAGCUUACUUGGAAUAUUCCAAAGGCAGAGGCAGAGGAUGAUAGUUACUUAAAGCCAAUCAACUCUCUUUCGUCCGUUUGUUUACUCAAAUUCCUUAUCACACGUUAAGAGGCUUCUUUAUAGUCUCGGGGAGUUAGCUUCACAAUCUUGCUGCCAUCCAAACCUUUUGCCCCUUUUUUUUAUUUGUAAAUCUGUUCUCGGAAUUUUCGUACCAACCCUUUCUUUCUUUCUUGGAGCAUUGAGCAGAUACACCAAAAAGAGUGAGUUGUAAGUAAGUAAUGGUUGAAUUGACCAACACAUGUCGCUUUUGCUUAAACCUGAACCAUCAAUAACGCGUAAUUUAAACCAAACUUUUUAAUACUAAUAAUAAUAAUAGACUGAGCCCUUCUUCAUUUUUAGUCCAUUUUAAGAAAUAUUUUAAUACUUAGCUUCAUAAAUCCUCAACUAAUGUAAAUCAAUAUAAGCAUCAUGGACCGAUUCAAAGGAAGAUAGGAAAUUUCCCUUUUUAUUUUUAUUAUUAUUAUUUCCUCAAAUUGGUUGACGGAUAUAAGAAUUACUAAAUAAUAUUUUAUUGUUCAUUAUGUGUGUCAGACGUUUUAGCCAAUUAAAAAGGCAUAAGUUAUUUAUUAUCCCUAAUUUUGGGGUCAACAAUCAAAAAAAAAAUAAAUAAAUAAAUAUAUAUAUAUAUAUAUAUAUAUGUGUGUGUGUGUGUGUGAUUGCACUUUGUUUGUACUGAAUAUAAUAAUUGCAGCAACGGUUACGUGUUUUUUAUGAAUGAAUCAGUACUUGCAACACAAGCACGCUUCUCAAGUUUACAGUUGUUGUACAUUGGAAAUAAAUACACUACCUUAUUGAUCCAUAACGCUGAAACAAAAACCCACAGAUCAGCAUCAGACAAAAGACCAUGCAAAACUCAGCUCCCAAUGCAGAGACAUGAAGACCUAAAGCAGUUUCAAAAUCAAAGGGGCCCUGGGAAAGUCCCAUUCUCCCUCUGCUCGUUCCAUCUCUCAACCUGUAGAAAUGUAGCAGAAACUAGUUAGAAUGCAUUCAAAACUAUGGUAAAAUGGUAGAAUGUUAUCAUCCUAUUGCAUAUGGUAAAAUAGUAGUCAAAGACGUUUAUAUAAUAUAAUAAACAUAAAAAGUGGGAACGCUGGAAAGCCAAUAAAAGAUUUGGUGUUGUACCACUUGGUAAUUCAAAAAGGCCAUCCCCAUCAGCCAUUUAAUAUAUCUCCCUCAAACAACUAGAGGUUUUCCAUACGCCAUUACUAGAGGUGUCAAGAAGAUAAAACGGGCUGCACAGAAAUUCACAUGAGAGUUGCAAGCAACUUCAAGCUCACAAUCCAAAACUUACUCCGAAAGGAACUAAAACAGAUAGUCAAACAUAAAAGAAAAACCAUAGCUGUUUUUGUUAAUAACGAUUAAGUUUUAACUAUGAUGUCAUGUCACCACCCAAUUCCCGUGUAACAUAAAGGAGCAAUAGUUUCCAAUUGCAAUGCCAUCUCAAGCAGAAUCACACAUGAAAUGGGACUUUUUAUGAGGACAACAGUGCUCAUAUCUGACCUUUUGAAGAGGACUGCUGUCCCCCAAGCCUAUGACAAUCAAUACCAACAUUCAACAGGUAAAAGCAAUUCUACAUAUAUAUAUAUAUAUAUAUAUAUACUUACUUACCCAUUCACCAGGACAGAGGGACCUAUAGUACUUGGCAAAUUUUUCACAUUCUCCAGAAUCAUCACCCUUGGCAGCCAAGCACCUGAAAUCCAAAAAAGUGUUGAAUCUGUGUAAACCAAAUCAUUAUGAUAGACCAACAAAAGCUUUACUGUGCUCUAAAGAGAAAACCAGGCAAGAGUAAAACCUAUAUCAAUUACAUAUUCAACCGAUAGAAAAUCAUCUUGAGUACCAAGAUAAAUAUUUCUGUACUCACUCUUUUCUUUUUCCCCCCCAAACAUCAAACCCUAUUCAUGAGCUUCUAGAUUUAAAAUGUUAGGGAGUAGUAAUCUAGUCAAGUAAAAAUAUUUUAACUUAAUCAGGCACUUUCAAAAGAUAUUUGCCUAAAGGUUUCAGCCUACACCUUCUUAACAAACACAAAACUAACUUAAGAUUUCUCUUUCAACAACUGAGGGCUAGAAUCAAAACUACACAUUACAAUACUUAUAAGAACAAUCAACUGGCUUAAGAUGAGUACCAAGUUAUGAUGCGAUUUCUGUUUGCCACCUUUAAUCUAACAAAAAAAAAAAAAAAAAUCACCCAUGCAUUUGAAAAAAACUUCUACCAUUGCCGAAUUUUGAAUUUGGCUAACUAAACCAACAUAGGGGCAUUAAUACCGUCUCAAGACACCUAAAAUGCAAGAUAAGUUCAUCAAUCAAAACUACGUAAGUUCAAUGGUUUUACCGGAGUUGUUCCAUGACACAGAAAAAAAAUUGGUUUCUAUGACACACUAUUAAGCAAUCAACAGCCACUCAUAUGUAACAAAGUCCAAUGACCAGAAAAGCCUUAUGCAGCCACAACUGACAGAGCAUGUCCUUUUAAGAUAAUUGGUUUUAUGGCAUAUUAUUCAACAACCACUGGUGUGUAACUAGUCCAAUACCCAGAGAUGCCUCAUGCAGCCAAAACUGAUAGACCAUUACCUGUGGAACUCAAUGUAGCGUGUGAAACAGUGUCUAGUUUGAUUAGUUGUUGGGAAUCGGAAGUCAGCUGGUGCAGUCUUCAGUUCAAUCUGACAAUAUUAGCAUACAAAUAUUACUAAGAAGAGUGUAAGACAACUGUUCAACACUAAAUUGCGUCUUCCGCUUUCUCAUCAUAAAUCACACACUUAAUUCACUACAUAAAAUGAAAAGGAAAACUAUCAAAAGUUCAGAGAAGCAAACAUUGUCACUUUAGAAAAAAGGUGAACAAGAAAAGUAUUUUAACAAGUUACUUAAUAGUUAAAAUAUUGAAUAAGCAUGUUUCCACUUAAGACGGCGUUCUCCUCCAUCAUGCUUAGAUUUCAUUGUAAUAUUUCCCAAGACAUCAUAUCCUACCAGAAUUCCAAUAGUUUCGAGGCAGGAGACAUCCACAGCAAGAAUACAUAGUUUUGACCCGAUUGUAAUUAUGAGCUAAAUCAUGCUUUGCAUGCUAAGAAGCUCUAGCCUAGGCACAGAUAAAACAUCUUUUCUCAGAAUUAAAAUUUCAACACAUCAUAAUCAUGAGAUAGAAGACAUUAAGCGUGUUCAGAACUAAGGCUUUCAACAAAACUGGAUGCACUUCCAUGCUUUUUUGAAUAAGAAUGUCCAAUUGAUAAAGAAAGAAUUUUUUGAACAGGCAACUUUCAAAGAAUGAAUCAAUAAAAUCACAACCUCAAGAAAACCUAAUUCCUGCAUAUGACAGUUCUAUUCUGAAAUCAAAAAGAAGGAAAAAAAAUUCACUCUUGAGGCUAAAGGACAGGCCCUCAGGCAUUAAAGGUCAGACGAAAGAAAAAUUGUUUGUGUCUAUUGUGGCAAAUGAAAAAUACUUUAGCAGCAGACCUCACACACUCUGACAUGAGAUAAGCACCUCACACACUGUGAAAUGAGAUACUAUUUGGCCCAAAGGACUAGAAAUAAAAGUGCAUUUACACAAAGGGCCAGCUAUGGCUCCCUUUAGCUGUCAACAAGACUAGAUAAAGAAAACAUUUUACAAUUGAGUCAAGAAAAGUAAACCACAAUUUACGUUCUCUUUCUAUAAACAACUAUUUGGCUAAAAAAAAUUAACAAAUAUAAACCACAACCAACAUGCUCUAUGAUGAGCAACCAUUUGGCCAAAUAAUUAAUAAGUAGACCAUCUGGAAAUGAAUAAAGCCUAGGUAUCGGAACCAGUAACUUAAAAGAGCAGGCAAGGAUAUAGAGAUCCCCAGAGUAAUAUUCCAAGAAGGUAGAUUUCUUCUCUCAGUCUGUACUAAAGAAGAAAGUCUACUUCAAUCCUUAUAUCACCAUGAAAAGAGAAGGGGGAGUCAACACCAAACUAUGUCACCUUAUAGGGAUUUUAGGCUGGAUUUUGAAUUUUAAUCUGCUUAGUAUCCUCAUAGUCAUGAGAGAACUUAAACUAUGAAAGCUCUUGCUUGGCUAUUGGAGAAAGUGGGAAAGAAGGCAUUCUGUCUCUUGGUAUGGAACCCCACAUUCACCUGUAAUCUGAAACAUUUUCAAGUAUGACAAUUAAAAUACAGAGCUUUGAGAGCAUAGAGAACCAAUAUGGGAUUAGCUACAACAACCCAAUUUUCCAUCAGCAUUAGGAGUACACAAUUCUUCCCUUCAUGUAUGGAUACUCAUAAGAAAAUCUUCCUGACUUGAUAUAUUAUACAGAUGGAACAUUGGGGGCACCCGUGGAUGGGGUUUUCUUGUUUUUUUCGUUGGGGGGGAGCACAAAGAAAAGAAGGAAAGAAAUAUUAAAAAGUUUACAAAGAGAAAGAAGGAAAACAAGUCUUUUAGUAAUUUCCCAUAUCAUAUCUCAAAUUCCAAACAUCCACGUAGCAGGACAUUUCCCUUUCCUCAAUAAAUUUACUAUCAAAGGAAACCCAAACUAAAUAAAGGCACAAACUUUUCUCUAAGAAAAACAUAAAAGCAAAUGUGCACAACAUCCAACUAACUCUAUGGUUUUGUUAUAAAAACAACUCCAUCAUCCUUUCAUACAGCUGCUUGCUUUCAACAAGAGUCCGUUCAGAUUUGAUAGCAAUGUAUUUCUUUACAAAUACUUUGCUUUUAGGCCUCACUAGGUUUAAACUUUUCAGAAAAGCUAUACCAACAAUCACUUUUUAAUACCUCUCAAUAUCAGCAAAAUUCAGUACAUUUCACGUUAAAAGAAAGCACUGCACCUUUUCUGAAGCUGUCUAUUUAUACUUCCCCUACAAUCAUUGGAAAUUUAUUCUACCAUGAAAUUAAACCCCUAGCACUCCAAAAUGGUUCUUGACAACAAGAAAUUUGGGCUCAUCUCUCACCAAGGCUUGACAAGGCACAAUAUGGCAAUCCAAUCCCAAAAAUUCCAACUUUCUCGAAAAAACUAAAUAAAAAUCCACUGCUUGACGUAAUACUGGAUAUUGAAAGAUAACACUUCAACAAGAACAUCUACUGAAUAUCUUUCCAACAAGAAGCUGAAAACCCACGAUCAUAUAUUGCAUAAAAGCUAACAUCUUGUUGAAAUUCCUAACCACACCCAUCUUAGAAGCAACUAUACCAUAGCUGCAACUUUGCCCCCUGGUAGGCAUGAAUGCCAACCAUCAUUUGCUUUUCCUCUUUAAUUCUGAACCAUAUAAGUUCUAUAACUAGAUUCAAAACCAAUUUCUUCUGUGUUAAAACUGAAUGCCAACACCGCACUCUUUUAGUUCCCAAUUUAAAAUACCCAUUAACCAAUGCCUUUUACUGAUUAAUUCAACCAUAAAUCUCCAUAAAAUCAUUCAUUUCUUGGAUCUCUUGCACAUUGUUUUAUACUAGCUUUUCACCCCGAAUUUCCUUCACACUUAAACCAUAUUUUCACAAUGUUCUGCCAAUAAAAUACAUGCAAAGAUAACAGAAAAUACAUUGACUGAGUGGGAUAUAUAUACAUAACCACGUUGUAUGAGUCCAUUGUGUACAGAACCGGCAAUUGAAUCAAAUCAUUAACAGAUCACAUAAAAAGGAUAAUGUACAUAAUCUCAUCAGCAAUCAAUUAAGACGAAAUUGAAACCACAAUAAAACAAAGGUAGAAAAUCAUAGACUAAAAUCCCUUAAAAAUUAAUGGAUUAAUUUCAUUAAUUUCAGUUUACCUCAGCCAUUUGACGAGACGGGAUCGAUCGAAAAUGAUGUGAAAAUGAGACAGAGCACUUUCUUCUGGUCGGCGGGAGAGAGUGUUGGAAACUAAAAUUGUUCACGUUUUGUUUCAGUGAUUAGUAGUUGUAGAAUUAGCUUAGAUUAGUUUGCAACCCUUAAUAUUUUCUUAGUUUUUACUGUUCACCCUUCACCUUUUAGUUUUUGACACAUAGCCCCCAACUGUCUUACAAAAGCUCUGGUAAAAAUUUUUUUUUUUUUCCCAAAAUAAGAUUACAUAUACCUUACAACUGCAAGAUCAGUACAACAAAUUAGUUGUCAUUUAAUUUAGAGAAAUGCCAAACUAGAAAUAGAGCAAUCUCAUAAUUAACUUGUAUACAACUUAUACACUUAAUUUAAUUUAAUGGAAAAGGCAUUCUUCAUGCGUUUGUUCAAGAAAAGUAAAUCAUUAGGGAAAAGAGCAAAAAGAAAAUGAGAAGGCAAAGGUGAUUUAUGCAUUAUUCCUUGGUUGGCAGUUUUUUUUUUUUUUUAAGUCACAAGUAUAUAAGUAGAAUUUUCAAAACUAUGACAAACGGGUCAUAUUGAAUCUCUUGCUCCCAAUUUAUGCAUAGGAAAAUAGUUCUUGAAAUACAGUUAGCUCCAAAUAUAGUAGGGACUAAUGAGCGCUGAUUUUAAAUGUAAGGGAAUAAGUGGUUAAGAAAAAUUAAGACUACGCGUGGGUAAAAAUUGAAGAUAUAUUAGAAGUAUCAACCAAACGUGUUUAUUUUGCAUGUUGGAGAUACACAACUCUAGACUUUUUAGCCAAUUUCCUAAUGUGUGGAUUUUUUGGUAUGAAGUUAUAAGGAUGGGAAAAUUUGGAGAUUAGUUAUUGUUUUUGAUAAUUGAUGAACAACAAAAAGGUAAAAGAGUGAUAAACCACAUAAAUAUGAGGAAAUUAUAAUGGUAAACGCAAAAUUAGGAGGAAAACUUAUAAUUCAGCUUUCUCUGAUCAAUUAACUGUCUAUUUUAGGUAGCAUAUCUUUUAUUCUUGCUCCCACAAAAAAAAAAAUUUUUUGUUGUAGAAUAGCUCUAAUUCUCAUUACUUAAAUCUUGCCAAAUCCCUAUAACACAUAUAUUUAAAAUAUCAUACCUCUAUACUUUUUCUCAUAAGUUGUAAUGAUAUACCUCUUCGAGUAUUCCUAUCUUCCACAUGUUUAGGUGAAAUUUCUCUGAUAGGCUUCGGCUUUCCCCGUUUAAUAGGUCUCCAUAUUUAAGAGGAAGUUUGGGUUUUAUGUUGUUAGAAUUUCAAUUUUUGCUAUUCAUUCUCUUAAAAGAACUUAAAUAACCUAUUAACGAUAAUUUUUAAUGCUUUUAGUUUACAAGAAGAUGAUAGCUAACAAGUAGCAGCAUGUUCUUCAACUAAUGAUCAAAUUACGAGACAGUGAUACUUUAUUACAAGGUACUACUACAUAAGUAGAUGUGUUAUUGCUGUUUCUAAAAAUUGAUAUGGAGUUCAGGUUAGUGAAACCCUGUACGUCUGUCCACCGAUGCAAAAGUUCAAAGGUGUCUCUAAACCAGAGUUUUCUUUUGUACACUCUCUCUUUUUUCUUCUGAUCAAUAAAAGCAUGAAAGUUUACGUGUAAAAAAAAAGUUUUUAUUACAUGUCAAAUAUCUUUAUGAUGAGUAAACCCGACAUGCUUAUUUACUCAUCCCCAAACUACCAAUCCUAAAAUGUCUCAACCCCCGAAAAAUUGCAGUUGAAUUCGCAUCACCUAAAAAAUAGUAGACAGCCUCUUUCGUGCACGUUGACUGACUAAGUAAAAUGCUAAAAGAGAGAGAAAAGGAAGAAAUGUUCAACAGAGUCCAGUAAUAAUACUUCAUAAAACCACUUUCAUUGAUUUGUAAACCAUCUUGGAAAGACCAUUGUUGUUCCAUACUGCAUAUUUGCUCAUGGCUGAGAAUUCUGCUCCCCCAGAAGAAGUUGUAGUGCCUGUUCCAGAAGAAAAAAAUGAAGCCAAAGAAAAAGAAGUCGCAGUGACUAUUCCUGAAGCAAAAAAUGAAGCCGAAGAAAAAGAAGUUGCAGUGCUUAUUUCUGAAGCAAAAAAUGAAGCCAAAGAAAAAGAAGCUAAAGAAAUCCCUGAUGAUACUACCACCACUGCUGCUGCUGCCACUACUAAUACUAGUGUGGCAGCUAAAACAGAUAAAAUGAAGAUUAUUGUGCUUUCAUUAACCGUACUUUCAUUUCUUCUUUCCUUCCCAAUCCUCUUUUCAAUCGCUUGGUUGCUAUACUUGAGACAAUAUGACUGUGAAAACCUUCUUGACUUGCCAAAGUUACAACUUGUGAUUGUCAUUGGUCUAGCAAUUGUCUUCUUUGUGAGCAACUUUGUAGUGAAAUUUGGAAGCCGGUUUCCUAUGCUUGGACUUCUCUUAGUUGUGGUGCCACUGAUUUUGAUGCUGAUUGUUGGUCUUGGACUUGAGGGUGCUUUUGACAUGGAAGCUCGUACCAUACCCGGUACUCCUAGAUGGCUUGAGUUCAGGGUGGAUAAUGACUACAAUUGGAAGGAUAUCAAAUCCUGCUUGUAUGCUACAACGACAUGUAGAGAGUUGGCGUUAAGGUCUUAUACCACCAAAUCCUUUGACUUCACAGCAAGCAAAUUAUCAUCGAUUGAGGUACUAAGCUAAUAAAAAUGUCACAUGAAAUAGUAUACGUGUGCUUGAGUAGACAUUACAGACAAAGAAUUUUUUUGCUGGUCGAAUAUAUAUAUAGGUAUAUGUAAAAUAUAAAUCACUAGUUUUGCAUAUGGCAUAUCCUAAAAACAUGUUGAAUGCUAUUGGCUUAGUAUUGGCUUAGUAUUCUACAUUAGCAGAAUACUUCUUUUUCAAUGGUUCAUACACAUGUUAUUAGGCAGUGUUUGAUACUUUAAUUCAACCAACAACUUAAAAAAAAAAAAAAUUAUGAUCGAAUUUUUUUCAAUAAAUAGUGUGCUUAGUUUGAGUGAUUUGUGUUUUCUUUGGUCAUAUCACUUCUACAAUUGCACCUCUAUUUACAUUUUACAUUUACUCACUGGACUAUUUUUUACAUUGGCGCAAUUGUCUAGUCUGGUUGUUGUCUGCCGCCAACAAGCUGUGGAAUGGAAUACGUGAAUGCCACAUUCUGGAGGAAAGAAGAUUCAACACUGGAUUCGUCUAACCCAUUGGAAAGGGAUUGUGAUCUAUGGAAGAAUGAUGAAACCAUUUUGUGCUACAACUGCCAAGCCUGUAAAGAUGGAUUUCUCAAACCAUUACUUGGUAAAUGGCAGAACAUUGGGACCUUCCUCAUUGUCAUGGCUGCUCUGCUUUCAGCCUCGCAUCUGUUGCUUUUUAUUUCUACAAUGUUGGAGCAACUUCGAGGAUACCAUAAAAGCAAAUUAAUCGCACUUUCAUUUUAACUGACUAAGAGUUAUUAGAUGAGGUUUUGGAUUUGCAAGCUAUUUCAUCCUUUGUUCUUGACUUUGUUGUACGUCUUUUUCGUGUAUAAUCGGGAACAUCUUUGAUGCUAUGGUCAUCCUCUGACAAAAGCAGAAGUUACCAUUUUUUUCAUGCUAUCAAGCUCUUCUUUGAUUGUCAUAUGGGCAAAAGUAUGUUUUGGUUUAUAUACCACGAAUUUUUAAGGAGUAGUAAGUUGUCAUUUCUGGAACUCCAAAAUCUUGGUUUCAUCAGGCAAAUCACACUGACUAAUUAGGAGUGGUCAGUUAUAAAACCUCCACCAUUAGGUGCCAAUGCGACAAAUUUGUUUUAUCAUACACAAGCCAAUUAUCCUUAUUAAGCUUUACCAAAACCAAAACUCUCCACCUCCCAUCCUGAAUUCAUGCACGGUGCAGACUAGGAUGAAACAAGAUGCAAGGAAAACCACAGGAUUGAAGAGACUGCAUCUCUUCUGAGUAUUCAAUGACAUGAAUAUCAGCAUCCAUGGGCGUCUCUUGAUUGAUAAGCACUUUCUUCAAGGUGAUUAAUAUAUUCCUUGCUAUUUUCCAAUCCCAAACCUUAUUAUGCCCCAACCUAACUCCAAGAGAGGGAGACCAAGCGGGAGAAUAGAAGGGAGGAGACAUAAGUCAAAAUAAACUACACAAACAUAUCUGGACUGCAAAAGGACAAUAAAAGAGGAAAGCUAUAUUAUACAGAAGCUAACAACAUGCUACAAUUCUUGUAGUAAAAUUUGGCUAAAGCCAUGAAACAGGUUACGAUAACUUACAAGGAAUUCUCAGAGCUAACGAGUACAAGCCUACAAGCUAGUAUUUGGUAAAUCAUCAACACAAGAUUCUACUAAGUUGCAUACGAAGGGACCCCAGGAUCCAGUUUUGGCUGAUACAUUCACCUCCGAGCAUGCGAGGCAUCAUAUGUUCCCGUCCAUGAAGGAUUCCCAGCAGCACCAGUAACAGCUCCUGCUACAGCUCCAACUCCAUCAGGAGCACCUGCAGUGAUGGAACCACCAUACGGGAUCAUUCCCGGGGAUAUAGGCCCAGCACCCAUCGGAACAGCAGGUCUUCCAUAAUUAUCAACAUAUCCACCACUACCAUGUACAGCAGGUGGGUAGAAUGUAUGUGGAUUGAUGUUGGGUCCACCAUACGUGUAGGGAGCUACACAGACAGCAAGCAUUAUUGCCUAAAGGGAUCACAUUGGAACUUGAGAAAAUAAUAACUUGAGAGGAUUUCAAAAAACAAACUUGCUACCAUGUGCUCUCUUCUCGACACUGAACACCUCGGCACGCAAUCUUUCCAGUUCUCCAUGCAUGCCCACCAUUUCCUUCUCCAUGAUUCGCAUUUUUUCCACUUUUGCUAUGUUUAAACCUUUUUCGUACUCAAAUGUCAUUCUUUUGCCCCAAAAGAAAGAAAUUUGAAUUAAAUGCUUGCACUAAUAUCAGUUAAUGGGUGAUACCGACCAGAAUAAGAAAGCCCAAUAUGUAGUAAUCAGAAGCAACAUUACUUUCCUGUUCACCAGAAAAUUAUUUAUAAAACACACACAUAUCAAGCGCAAAGCAACAGUUUCCAAAUCUAAAAAGAGAUGCAGGGUGAAAAGCACAAGUGAUUGUUUCCACACUUUUCCUGUUACUAACAAGGAUAAAUCACGUUUCGAACUGAAAUUAAGCUUUACCACAAAACAUAGCAUCAAGGAUUUCUUAGUCCAUAACACGUAAAGAAAAGCUCAGAAGUGAAUGUUUCAUCUCAUCAAAAAGAUGAUAUUAAAACAAUAUGAACAGUUGACUCCACUCACCGUAACCUUUGAUGUUCUUUCCUUAAACUAUCGAGUUCAGUAUUCAUUUCCGGUAAUUUUUUGACAUCAGCACGGGCUUUCUCCAGCUCCUGACUGGCCUUUUGUAUUUGAGCAGUCAGCUCUUUUCUAGCUAAUGCCAGGCUCCGUGCCUCAGAAUGUGCUUGCUGCAAGUCCUUCUUUACACUCUCACCAGCUCUGAUGUCAACUUCCAUUUUUGCUAUCUUUUCCAAUAAUACACGAAUCUGGAUAUCACUCUCAGUCUGCAUGCUUCUAAUAUGAUCUGCAAGCUUCUGCAUUUCUUGCUGAGCAGCAACAAGAUCCUGCCUCAAAGCCCCAUGGGAGGCUGCCAACCUAUGAUUAUCCACAGCAAGCUGCUCAAUUUCCGCUGCCUGAACAGCCAAUCUACUAUCUAAAAGCUCAGGAGGAGGAAGUGGUUCCAUCGGACGAUGGCCAGCAGGCAAUGCACCAUGAUGAAUGAAAGCAGGACCUGGUACAGAACGUCCUUCAUGUGCUGAUGGUAUGUGUUUUCUCGAAGUCAUUGGAUUAAAAAAAAGCCUCCUCAAGUAAGGGAGGCAAAGUAUAACUUUCUCCCCGAGACUAUGUAGGAUAAAUUACCUGCAAUAUCUUUAGAAGAUGAACAAUAAGAAAAAGUAAGAAUCUCUUCCAGGUUCCAUCUAGAGAGAGAAACACUUAAAGAUGUACCCAAAAAGCAAGAAGCAGAUACAGGAGAGUACAAAUUAUUCAGCUAUUCGAACAUGCAUCAUAGGACAAAGUGCACUUGAACUCAUGGAGAAUAAUUUGGAAUUCAUAUUUUAGUACACAAAUUGAAGUAUUGAAUAAAAACUUUAAAUAAAAUCAACAACAACAACUAAAGAAAUUAAACUACCAUUGGCCAAUAUCUCAUCUAUUAGGUCAACAUCAGACAAACAAGCAUCAUUUACUGGGAUUAGGCAAAAGAACGUUGUAGUGCCAACUAUAAUCAUAAAUCAGAGUCAAAUCAUUCUGAUUGUAUAGAAAAUUUUCCUACCAAAGUAACCAAGCCAGAUGCCUUUUUCUUCCACGAUAAGCUGACCAGACAAGAAAGCAGAUCCGUAAUCAUUUUCAAACUCAGAAAUCACACAAAAAUUCUUCCUUCUGUGUCCUAGUACAGUUAAGGCCUGGGAUUCCUGAGCAUACUUUCAGAGACAACCAUUUUGGAACAACUAUGUAGUCUCUUUUUUGGGUGGAGAAUCAAGCCAUUUAAAGAAUCACCCCAACAAAUCAGCAUUUUCCCCACUGAGAAGUUGUUCGGUGAUACUGUUAAUUUAACAAUUAGAAUUCCAAGUUCUUUCCUGAGAAUCAAUAAUUAGCAUGGUCAAAACUCCAUUAUCUAGUAUUUGUCCUAUUACAUGACAAGAAGUCCACCUAAAUGAGCAUAAGGAUCUAGGCAUUGAGCUCAGGAUCUAGGCAUUGAGCAUUCUCCACCCUCAUCGAAGUUCAUAAUAAUCAAGAAGUUACCAUCACCAUUAUUGCAUGAUGAUAUAGUGUCUAUGGAAAUUUUUGCAUUGUAGAAGUAACAAAGAAACGUUAAAGAAAAUCACAAACUCUCUCUUUCAACGACUAUUAAUCAUCAUUUGUCACAAGAUAGCAAGUAGCACAUUAAAGCAUGCCUCAAGCGUCAUUAACAUGUUAAUAUUCAGAAAGUUUUAAUAUGUUGAUUAUAUGUUCAACACAUGCAGUGUAAAGAUCCAUAUCCUACAAUGAACCAGAAUUUAAACGUACCAUUUAUAAAAGUUGCCACGUUUCACACAUCGGCAUCUAUGAAGCCUAGUUGCCAUGCUUCACACACUGCCAUCCUGCUUUUAGCACACGAUUCUACAUUACCACAAUUUCUUAUUACCUAGACUUCUCAAUGGCACUUCCUAAAGAUAGUCAAAAUAUUUAAGAUCGAACUUCGCUCAUAUUUCCCCGUAAUCUGAAUUUGUAUCAUGCUUCCCAAUAACCUAAAAGCAACCCAAAAAACGUUUCAAAAAAAUCAUAACUUUAUCCACAGUGUCCUGCUUUUCACGAAAUUAUGCAUCACCAGUAUUCCCUAAAUUUUUUUCCAAGAGCCCAGUGAAAAAGCUUAACAUUGAAGAUACCUCAUACUUUCCUAUAAUCUAAGAACAACAGAAAAUAAUAAUACAACAAAAAACAAAACAAAAAAAUGAAAAAAUGAAAAAAAAAGGAUCAAAACUGUAUGUUUCUUGUGCUCCUCCUCUAAUUUCAAACCAAAGCCACAAUUGCAAAUGAUCAAGAUAUGCCUAUUUCACAGAAGGAUGCAGCAAAAAGCUGCUGUCUCUCCUGAGCAGUACUCCUUCCGCAUGCAUAACCAAUCAAUGAUUAAUGCAACACAAACCCACGUAAAAAUCUCCUGUUAAGGCUAAAAUCAAGUGUCCCUUUUCCUUUUGCCAUUAGAAUGACAAUUUUACGCUAAAGAAACAAGAAUUGAACCCUGAACCAUGAAAAUUUUUUUCAAGACAAAUUUUGGUUUCUUUAAGCAAAUCGAAACAAGCCCAGAUAAAGAAAACUGAAAGUAAGUAAUUACCUGUUCUCAAGACUGAUAAAUCGGAGAAGUCUGUAUUUCUACAUAAAUGAGGUUCAAUAUUGUGAAGAAGACAGGACUCCUCUUCUAAGAAGAGAUUUUGUAAUUGCGCUUCCGGUUCUAGGCAUUCAUCAUUGGUGUUAUUAGCCUUUAUCCCCCCGGCAAGGGACAACUUGAUUUGAAAUUUCUAAUAAUCAUUUGAGAUAUUUGAUGGGAUCUAUAUACAAAGAGAAUUUCUUUUAGGGAUAACUUCAGAAACCUCAAGGGAGGUUUCUGACAAUUUCACUAAGCUCCUCUAAAGUUUGAAAAAUAAUACUUACCUUCCUUGAUUUGAUAGUUUUAGUAACAAAAUCUUAAAAUAAUAUUGACUUGGACAAUUUUUUAAAUGAAUACUCAAAAAUGCUCUUGUGGAAUGAGUUUUAAUUACUUCUCUACACAAUUAUGAGAUUAUUUAGUAUAAUUAUAAGGAAAAGGUGCCAAAUUUUUCAUGUCUAUAUUUACUAUUUGAUAAACAACUAUAAUAUAAUUUUAUUACUAUGAUAUGAUAUUUUUUAUGGCAUUUUAUUAUGAAUUUAAAUUUAUAAGAUAGAAAAGAAAAUGUUUAAAUAAUUCAUUUGGAGUUUAUAAAUUUUUGGAGUAGUGGUAUUAUCAUAAUUUAGUAGUACUUUUGGGCCAUUUCUUUUUGAUUUAUUGUUAAUUUUAAUACUAAAAACUAGAAAACGAAGAUCAGCAAAAACAUUGGAUUACAUAUAAAAUUACCUCGUCAAAAAAAUCACUAGUUCGACAUUUGGUUAUAGUAGAAACUUAGAGGCAUUAGUGGUAGUUCUACAAUUUUAUUGGCAAAAAAUUUUUAAAAAAAGGAAUAAAAAGGAAAAAGAAUGAAAAAAUAAUUUUAAAACUCAUUCUAAGUAUAAGCAUACCAAAUAAGAGAAUUUCUUUAAAAUAUUUAAGGGUAAAAUUGUCAUUUUAAAUGACAAAAAUGACAAGGGAGGUAUGUGUAAUUUUUCGAACCUUAGGGGAGCUCAGUGACAUUGUUAGAAACCUCAGGGGAGGUUUCUGAAAUUAUCCCUUUCUUUUACCAUGUACAAGUUAUUUUUCUCUUUCUUUCUUUCUUUUUUUUUUGGUUUUUUGGAGAGUCGAGUUGGUCGCUAGAAAAUUCACAAAAUAGUAUCAUCUCAAAAGCAUCAUGUAAAUUCAAAGUUUCUCUUCAAACUUUGUGGUUCAACCAAAUUAGUACAUUUUACAUGUGAAUUAUAUUAAUCAAACUUUCCGCAAAAUUAGGUAUUGACGAUUCAAGUGCCAAUCUCAGCAUAAUGAAGCAUGAACCAUACUAAACGCGCCAUUGUUAUUAACACAAAUUACUCUUGUCAUUCAACCACAGUUGUGCUCUUAUCAUGCUAGAAGUCUACUAAAUGACAUUUUCCAGCUCACUUCUACAUAAGAGCCAACCUCGUUUCUACGAAUGAUCAUGUUCGAUAAGGAUCAUUUCGAAAAGAUCCUGGUCUGACAAAGCCUUCCUGAGAUGAUUCAUUAUCAAUAUUUAUCAUUCAAUGAUGGAUGGCAAAUUGUUUUACUGGCUUACGUUGACCAAGAAACAACAAUUUUUGUCAUCUUUUGUAUAAAUCUUGUAAGUUCAUUUGUAUUGCAUCUGCACAUUAGUUGCUGACAAGAUACUUCAAAAAAAUUUGGUCAUUAUAUAGUUUAAUAAAUUUUGUACAAAGUGUGCCCACCCACAUGCAUGCUUGAAGCUUAUAUACAACAAAAUGUACUCCGACGUCAGUCUUCAUAUGGUCUAACUUUUUCGUAGAAUCUGCAAAAUUGCAAAUAUGGGUUUUGAAGAUCAAAAGCCUCUUAUUGUCAUGGUUAUGUUAGUUUCUCUAUGCAGGAAUCACUUCAUCACUAGAGCUUCCUUGUUACAGGGAACGAGUCCAAGGGUUUUCGCGGUCAGCUAUCUAUAGCCACUUUGCUUGUGGCCCUUGUGGCUCAUUUUAAACAGAGGCGUAUUUAUAGGAAUUUUAAAUCCUUUCUCCUCGUCUCAGAAUGUGAAACAUAAAUUAUGUACUGGAUCAAUUACACGAAAACCUAUAGCCUCUUUGGCUGUUGGGUGGUCAAGUUUCGACCCUUGUCUCCCAACACUUGUUACUAAUAAGUGGUUUCUACAAAUUCAAACGGGUGUGUAGUGCACCCGUCUGAUUCGAUAGUGGUUCAGUCCCCCUUGAUUCCCCCUAAUCUAGCUAGACCCUCCCUUAGAUAGGUUAUAGUGUAGGAGCAAGAGCAGUGUAGAAAGUGAUGAUUGACCCAAAAAAAAAAAAUUUACACAAAUAUAUAUAAAUUUUUUUUGGUUGGGGUUGCCCGGAGUAAAAUAAGCAGAUAUUCUUUAGGAUGGAAGAGGUUGAUAUUUUAAGGACAAAUUCCACUUUGCACCUUUGAACUUAUAUCACUUUCUCACUUUGUACUCUAAACUUCAAUUUUGAACACUUUACACCCUAAACUCUCAAUUUGAGACACUUUACAUGCUAAAUUCUUAAGUUCGUCCUAUUUAAAUCUAGUUAAUAACAACUUUUAAAAAAUUAACUGUAUAGAAGAUCUAACAAAUCAAUGAUAAUGUGCCAAAAGUAAUCAAAAGGUGCCAUGGUAUUAUAGCAAAAAUAAAACAAUACAUUAUCAUUAAUUUGUUUUUAUUUUUUUCAUUAUCAUUGAUUUGUAUCAUCUUUUACCUCAUUAAUUUGCUAAUAAUAUUAAUAAUUGAGAUCAUAUAAAUAAAUGAUAAUGUGCUGAACAUGAGCAACAAAGCUAAGGAAUCGUAGUCGAAACAAAACAGUACAUUGUUGUUAAUUUUUAUCGCUCUUUAUCUCAUUAAUUUUGCGAAUAUAAUAAUUGAUUGGACUUAAACCGAACAACUAUGAGAGUUUAGGGUGAAAAGUGUCCAAAAUUAAAAUUUAGGGCGCAAAGUGAGAAAGUGAUACAAGUUCAGAGGUGUAAAAUCAAAUUAAUCUUAUUUUAAAUAUCGCUCAUUUUGUAAGUUAUUCUCUUUUGAGUAUCUGUGUGUAUGUGGAAGCUAAACUAAUGUUGAUUAUCCAAUUGAUUAAGUUUUUCCUCUAUACAUUCCUUGUGCAGAGUAACAUUUAACAAGAAUCUCAAUUUUAAGGGCCUAUAUAUAUAUUUGGCCUCAUCUUCAAUAGCAAGUGCAAUGGUCAAUUUACUUCCUGCAACUACUUGUGCGGCGGCCUACAUUGUCGGGUAACUAUCAAGGAGAUUAAUGCAAAUUCAAAGAGGGCUGAGUUUACAUUCAUCAUGAAAAAGUAAAUGAUUCUAUAUACAAUGGAUGAUCUCAUCCCUUUUACUUUUGAUUGCAUAAUUAUUAUGUUAUCUCAAAGCAACAGAAAUCUAUUAGCACAGUAACUUUUAUAAAUUCUUUUGAACUCUUUUUGUCUAUAAUUAUUUCUUAAAUUUCACUCGAAUACCGUACCUUAACAUAUGUCAAUUACUGAUUAGAGAAAGUGAACAUCCAAAGCUUCAGGAGUAUAGCCAAGAUCAUCGGAACAAUCAGCUCUGUUGCUGGAGCCAUAAGCAUGCCAUUACUAAAAGGGCCAAGAACUCUAAGCAUGGAGCUUCAGCUAAUGCAUUCGUUAUUCAAAAAGGGAGAUGAGAUAUGGUUGCUUGGUUGUUUCAUCCCCUUAGCAGGCACAAUUUGCCGGUCAACUUGGCAACUUUUGCAGGUGAAACCACCCGAUAUUUCCCUAUUGGAAUCACACAAUUUGAGAAUCAGUUAACAGCAUAUCCAUAUUUGUGUUGCAUUUUCUCAACAGGUGCCGGUUGUCCAAGAGCUAUCCCGAUCAUUUACCUGUAACAGCAUGCAAGGAUGUGCUUCAUGGUUGCCUUGCAAUCUGCAGCUGUCACGUUUUUUACUGAGAAAGAUUUCACAAGCUUGGAAAUUGCACUCACAUUUGGAAAUUGGAUGCCCUUUAUAUAGUGUAAGUUUUGUACUUUAAUUUGAUGGUUUCCAUUUUACAACCAUUUUGUAUCGAAGAUAAAUUUGAAAGAGUUCAUCAAUAUUAUACCUGGCUGGAGCACCAGCUCAAUCUUGGUGCAUUUCGAAACGAGGUCCAAUUUUCUGUGCCAUGCCAUGUUUAAUCCCGUAAACAACGUAACUAUCACCAUGUUCGCUUGUACGUUCAUCCACAAAGAGAUUUACUUAGGAAGGUAUUACCUGCAUUGCAAAAAUUGAUUAAUACCUUUUAUUCCUUAAGACUCCAGUGUUCCGAUUUCUUUAUUCUUUGGAUGAUAAAUAAUUGGGAAAAUGAUCGGUUUCAUCCUUCACAUUUCACAAAAAUAUUCUUUUCGUCCCUCACUUUUAAAACGAAACAAUUUCAUCCUUGACAUUUAAAAACUGAAGUUCUUACGUCCCUGAACCCAAAUUUCAAUCUGAAUCAAACCACCAAUCAAUCUGAUUACAAAUUUUGGGAGUGUAAUUGGUAGAUCAUUUGGUUAACUCAACUUGAUAUUCAUGUAAAAUUUAAUGAAUCAAAAAAGAAAAAAAGAAAAAAUUAUAACAUAAAAAAGAAAGAUUAAUCUUUCCUACAUUAUCAUUGUAUACACUGACGGUUUUAUGUACCGUCGUAUCAUUUCAAUUUAAAUUUAAACACCAAAUUUUAUAUUUAUGAUACACAUCUAGAUUCGCAAGCAGAUAUAUUAACGGUGUAUGAAAAGAUUUACCCAAAAAAAAAAUCCCACUAUACCAAGACAAAGAAUGGCCUUUUAUGUUAUAAUUUUUAUUUUUUUGGUUUAAUAAAUGUCAUGUGAAUAUGAUGAAAUUGACCGAGUGAUCUAUCAAUUCUAUUUUCGAAAUUUAUUACUGGGCUAUUGAAUGAUUUGAUUCAGAUUGAAAAUUAGGUUCAGAGAUGUAAUAGUUUUAAUUUUUAAAUGUCAGAGAUCAAUUUGCUUUAUUUUAAAAGUGAGAAUAUUUUUGCGAAAUGUGAAAGAUGAAACAGGCCAUUUUCCCUAAAUAAUUUAUAUAUUUACUCAUAUUGAAUUUUGAAGCCCUUUAAAUUGAUAACUUAUCGGUUCCAUCGGCCUCGAGGAAUUUAUGGCCUCGUUUUCAUGUACCAAAGAAAUAUCUAAAACUAGCUUAUUUUCUAAUCUAAGACGCAACUUUACCACAAUAAGCUAGAAUUUCAUAAUUACGUAUUACUUUUCCAAACAGCUCUUGGAAAAUAUCUUAUACCGAUUUGCCCAAAAUAUCAGUUCCUAGUUUCAUCUGCUGACCAAGUUGAAUUUGAGUUGAAAAAUACUAAGUUUGUUAGCUUGCGAGUCGAUUCGAACUCGAAUAUAUACAUAUAUAUAUAUAUUAUUUUUUAUUUUAAUAAUAAAAUUACAUAUAUAUAUCCCUAACAUUUUAUUAUUUAUUAAAAAAAUUAUUAUUUUAUUUAUUUAUUAAAAAUAAAAUAUUUAUUUUUUAUUUUUUCAAACUCGAACUCGAAUUUGAGUUUCAUAACAUUAUGUUGAGACUCGACUUGAUUAAGUCGAAGUUCGACUCGACCAGUCACCCCUAACUUGGCCUAUACAGUAUGGAGGGAAAGGAAUCUUAGAACAUUUCAAUUGAUUCUUUAUGAAAUUCUUGAGAUAUGUUCGUCAUGCCAAUAGCUGGAUGCCUGGAUGGAGGAAAAUUCCAAGGACUCGAGAGAAUUGGGAGCUGACUUUACAUUGGAACUUUUCAAUGCAAAUUUUCUGUAGAUUGUAUAGAAUAUAGUGAUUGUGAUCAGUUUUAUUUUCUUUGCUUAGUUGUAUAGAUUCCAGUACUAUGUGGUGACUCUGCAAGUGUCUAUAUUUAACUUUUAUUUUUGUUUGCAUAUUCCUCAAAGCUAAGUAAGUACUAAAUGAUUUGUUUUGAGAUGAAACAGUAGAAGGGGAUAGUUGAAAGUCACAUUACACCAACAAUAGCACUAACAAAAUUGAGCUACUCUACCAUUCAGUCUAGCCAGCUUUUGAAAUUAAAAAAAAAAAAAUGUCAUCAUAAGAAAGGCCAAAUAUAUUGACGGGUAGGGAACAUUCAAUUGACUCUUGGGUGAUGGUAAUUACUUAUUUCCAUCAGCCCUUCGGGUUCGGUUCCAUGGUUGUAGUCCCAGUUGGGGAAGAGCCACGUCCAGGGAUCGAAUCCCCGCACUACCGUGGCUGGUGAUGCUUGGGGCAGGCCUCUCCCAGCUCACAGUGGGAUUAGUUGGGUCGUACGGUAACCAGUUCACGGGCCCAGAUAUCCACUGUCGAUUAAAAGAAAAAAAUUUCUUAUUUCCAUCAAAAAGCAAAGCUUACAUGUACGAGCCCUACCAACAAACCCCACCAACAAUGGUAGGUAUGGAGAGGAAUGAACGACCAAAACCCAGAGAUGAUGGGUCUUUACUCUUUACAGCUUUUCAUUGUUGGUCCUGCAAAUAAUUGGAGAGACAGAAAGGGACGUCGACUUCCAUUAACUCAAAGGGAUAAUUUGAAAUCUGACCCCAGUGUCCGGCGGGCUAUUGCAAAGUCUGGUGGUGAAAGAAGAAAAAAAUAAUCCUUCACCACACAAUUGGGGAUACAAUCAAUAAGAUGAGAUAGAGGCAAAUGAAUGCUUAAUCAGACUCAGAAACCCGAGGACAAGUGUGAUGCAUCCUAAUCGACCUGACAACCUCAAUUGAUAAUAUUUCUGCCACAUGGUAGAACUUUUGGAGUGAUCUGGAUUUUGGUCAAAUUGAAUUUAGCAUCUAAAUCACAAUAGCGUAGACAAUUAACAAACUGCAUAGGACUCAAACUGGAGCCCGCCACAAAAGAAAUCAAAGCUUUAAGCAAAGAGAGGAAUAAGGGCAUAUCUAAAUCAAUGAUUGUUGGCCACUAUAAAAAAACAGUGAGGAGCAACUUACCCUUUUUUUGCAGGUAAUCAAGCAGAAAAAUUUUUUAUUUCUUAAUUAGAAGAAAAGCACCAGAAAACGUGGCAUUAAGAACAGGAAGUCUUUCCUGCAUUAAAGAGAGAAAGAAUGGACAAAAAUCCGACAAAUUUUGAAGGCCAAAACUUUAGAGAUCAAACUCAAGUACGCAGAGCAGAACCUGUUCAGAAGCAGAUCUGAAAAUGGCAGGGAAAUCUGCCAAUGUUUUUGUCAAAGACUGAAAAGUCUAUAUAGAAACUAAGCAUUAACGUAGGAAAUCAAUCAUCCAACAUGGUCUGAAUGAGCAAAAUCAAGCUAUACAUAGAAGCAACUAACAAAUAGGUAGGAAGUUGUAUUGCAUACAUUAUUAGAAAACCAGUUUCAAUCCAAACUCUAAUAUCUACUCAGAUAUGAGCUUGAUCGCUCAAGGGUAGCGCUUCCAUGCAUUAUCCUCCCUGUUGUUUCUGAAUGCGCAGCAUCCUAUAGAGUAUACUAUGAUGAGGAAGACCAGCACUAUAAUAUUCAGAAUGGCCUCCUUCUUCCAAUCACUCUUGAUAUUGUCCAGCAGACCAGCCUUGCAUGAUUGGCAGUUGUAGCAUAGAACUUUCUGAUCAUUACUCCAAGCCGUGCAGUCUGGAUUAGUAGACCCUGCUGUUCCUGUCCAGUUGGUUGGGGUGACAUAGGUGAAUUUGCACUCAUCUGGUGGCUUGCAGCAUCCAGACUGGCAAGAGUAAAUGAACAGAGAAUGAGAGAGACAACAUAAAAACGAUUUAACUGCAAAUGAACUAAUUUCAAUCUAGUCAUAUAUCUGUGAAGAACCUUUCCAAGACAUCGAGUUUAGGCACAGAAGCUGAAAAUUUUACAGAUUCUUUCACAGAAAUUUGAGGCGUGCAACUAGUACAUCAACCAGGAGACGAUUCUCAAAAUCACAAAAGGAACAUCUUAGUUUAUAACAACCUAGCAGUUCAACAAUGUGUCAAAUGUAUUAAA